UAUGCUUCUUUAACUCUCUCUGGAAUGAGGGCUGUUUCCCGUCCCGCUGGAAGGAGGCGAUCAUCAUUCCACUGCUAAAACCAGGGAAAAGUCCUUCCAGUCCAAGCAGUUACAGGCCUAUUGCCCUUACCAGUUGCUUAGGAAAAACUUUUGAACGUAUGGUGAACUGCAGGCUUAUGUACUACCUUGAAGAAAAUGAAUGCCUAGACCGAUAUCAGUGUGGCUUUAGAACUGCAUGCUCAACAACAGACCAGCUAUUACGUUUGGAGACUGUUAUUAGGGAGGCUUUUGUCAGACGGCAGCAUUGUGUAUCCAUCUUUUUCGACCUCGAAAAGGCGUACGAUACCGCCUGGCGGUAUGGCAUCCUUCGUGACCUACACUCUUUUGAGAUACGUAGUCGACUCUUCCGUUGCGUUGCAAACUUUCUUCAGGGGAGAACAUUUAGGGUGCAGCUGGGAACUGUACAGUCCCGCCUGUUCACACAAGAGAAUGGAGUCCCGCAGGGGUCUGUUCUAAGCGUAACACUCUUUAUUGUAAAGAUGAACUCUGUCGUCCAUGCAAUUCCACCGUCUGUCACAUACUCCUUAUAUGUGGAUGACAUUCAAAUAUCCUGUUCUUCCACAAGCGUUUCUAGGUGUGAGAGACAGCUCCAGCUCACCAUAAACAAACUUUCAGACUGGUCCACCAAAAACGGUUUCAAGUUUUCUCCUGAGAAAACUGUUUGUGUUCCAUUCUCAAGAGUGAGGGGUGUGUUUCCUGAGCCUACACUCAGAAUGAAUGGCCAGGAUAUUACUGUCAUACCUGAACACAAAUUCCUUGGUGUCAUCUUUGACCAAAAGCUCAAUUUCGUGUCUCACAUAAAAAAUCUCAGAGUCAAGUCAAUGAAGGCCUUAAAUAUACUCAAGAUCUUGUCGCACAGGUCUUGGGGUGCAGACCGGGAAGUCCUGCGUCGUAUUUAUAUUUCCGUCAUUCGCUCAAAGCUUGACUACGGGUCUUUGGUUUAUGGCUCUGCACGGAGGUCUGCGCUGGCGAUUUUAGACCCGGUUCACCACCAUGGUCUCCGUCUGGUGUUGGGAGCUUUUCGAACAUCACCAGUUGAAAGCUUUUAUGCAGAGUGCAAUGAAUGGUCGCUGGAAAAACGGAGAUUUUGCCUUGCCUCUACGUAUGCAAUGAAGGGACAACACAUUUCAUACGAAGUGUCAGUGCUACCGGAGCCUGAAGAAAAGAAGUGACCCGUACAGUAUCUGUAUCUCUCUUGACAGCGCUGGUACUAUUGUGUACACCCGCUGUGGUUGUCCUGCUGGAAAGGCUGUAUGUAACCACAUCCUGGCAUCACUACGCCUGUUGUCCUUGCUACAGCAGAAAGGGUAUGCAGAAGCACCCGCCCAGCUUUCUUGUACAGAAUUGCCUCAGAGAUGGAGGGUGCCAAGGAAGUAGGUUGUGAAUGGUACAGCAGUACAAGCAGUAGACUGGAGGAAGAUUGAAGAAAAUGGAGCAGAAAACAGCCUACCUCUACGGCUUUACGAUGCAAGGACUAAACUACAGACGAAGGAAGAGGAAAUCCAGGCAGUAGAGAAAUUUGCUGAAGCGCUUGCAUUACUCGAUGGGAAGCAGGGCUUCGCUACCUCUCUUCUGGGGGCCAAAUUAGAGUUCCGAGAAACAAAGUUUGGACCGUCGCUAGUAGGAGCUCCUUUGACUUAUCACCAGCCAAUGACCCCAGCAGGGUCUAAAACCUACCUAUGUGCUAAUUUUGCGAGCAUACGGCAUGGGAUAUCUGAUCCAUUCGAUGCCACAUUUUUUGAAGACUGCACUCCAUGGCAAGUUCCAAGCAACCUCCCUACAGCGUACCAAAGGACACUGAUGCCACUUUGUCUCACACAAAGCAGUGCAAGAGAGCUUGAAAGAAGUUCACGCCAGCAGAGUGCCAGCACAUUGUGGAGGGAUGCACGUGUCCACAGGUUGACUGCGUCGAAGUUUGGAGUUGCCUAAAACGUGACAGUUGGACUAGAAGAGGCUUGGACAACAUAUUGCGAACCAAAGACCUUUCUCGGGUUCGCGCUAUUCAGUAUGGCAUCACUAACGAGCUCACAGCUGUCCAGCGCUACAAGGAUACCCUGCACUCACGCGGCCAUGAUGUUGUGGUCUCCUGUUAAGGACUAUUUGUCCACCCUGAAACACCUUGGCUAGGAGCAAGCCCCGACAGAAUUGUGUUCGACCCAACAGAGGCAAGCCCAUAUGGGGUACUAGAGGUCAAAUGCCCCUACUAACUACGUGACACAGCAGGCGAGCUACUAAAAGAGCGUAGCUCCUACGUGACAUUCAACGAGGACCAUCCGUACCUGCGCAGGGAUCAUGACUACUAUUUCCAAGUUGUUGGCCAAAUAGGGUUGACAGGACUGCAGUGGGCAGACUUCGUGCUCUACGGUCCUGGCUUCCUAACUGUUGAAAGGAUUAGGUUCGAUGAAGCGGAAUGAAAAACCUUGAGGGCGAAACUCACAAGGUUCUACUUCCGUGAUGUUCUGCCAUAUUUUGCAAGGCAGUGACUUUCAUUUUGUAUUAUCGCUAUCAACUGAAAUGCACAACCAUUCACAAUAAACCUUGUAGUUCUUUUA
This is a long non-coding RNA of Ornithodoros turicata, 2612 nucleotides long. RefSeq lists it as uncharacterized. The record is from RefSeq and is a predicted model, not a curated record. NCBI's taxonomy places the organism in Eukaryota, Metazoa, Arthropoda, Arachnida, Ixodida, Argasidae. The transcript has 4 exons.